RNAcentral lists this ribosomal RNA (112 nucleotides) under Anabaena sp. FACHB-83. RNAcentral's name for it is "partial 16S ribosomal RNA". It matches the Rfam family "Bacterial small subunit ribosomal RNA", at positions 1 to 121 of the family's 1533-position model. The record is from RNAcentral. RNAcentral also lists the same sequence under 2 other names. Lineage: Bacteria; Bacillati; Cyanobacteriota; Cyanophyceae; Nostocales; Nostocaceae.
AAAACGGAGAGUUUGAUCCUGGCUCAGGAUGAACGCUGGCGGUAUGCUUAACACAUGCAAGUCGAACGGAAUCUUUAGGGAUUUAGUGGCGGACGGGUGAGUAACGCGUGAG